RNAcentral lists this ribosomal RNA (169 nucleotides) under uncultured Murimonas sp. RNAcentral's name for it is "partial 16S ribosomal RNA". It matches the Rfam family "Bacterial small subunit ribosomal RNA", at positions 338 to 524 of the family's 1533-position model. The record is from RNAcentral. Lineage: Bacteria; Bacillati; Bacillota; Clostridia; Lachnospirales; Lachnospiraceae.
CCUACGGGAGGCAGCAGUGGGGAAUAUUGCACAAUGGGGGGAACCCUGAUGCAGCGACGCCGCGUGAGCGAAGAAGUAUUUCGGUAUGUAAAGCUCUAUCAGCAGGGAAGAAAAUGACGGUACCUGACUAAGAAGCCCCGGCUAACUACGUGCCAGCAGCCGCGGUAAU